AAGACUAUAGACCUGCGGAGUACCUGCGGAGGGAUCAUUACUGAAGCAUUUGCAAUGGUUUUGUUGCUGCCUUGAAAAAGGAUCGUGCACGCCAUUCAAUCUUCUAUUUACCCACCUGUGCACCUUUCAUAGGCUUACGUUGAAUAAGUUGUCACUGUAAAUUGUGGAUGUGGGAGCGUAGCCCGUAGCUUGUUCUCAACUCUUGUUCAACUGUCUGUGUCUUUUUUAUACACACUAUUU
This 240-nucleotide unclassified non-coding RNA is filed under the name soil metagenome. RNAcentral's name for it is "partial contains 5.8S ribosomal RNA, internal transcribed spacer 2, and large subunit ribosomal RNA". The record is from RNAcentral.